This 440-nucleotide ribosomal RNA is filed under the name uncultured bacterium. RNAcentral's name for it is "partial 16S ribosomal RNA". It matches the Rfam family "Bacterial small subunit ribosomal RNA", at positions 338 to 795 of the family's 1533-position model. The record is from RNAcentral.
CCUACGGGAGGCAGCAGUGGGGAAUAUUGCACAAUGGGGGAAACCCUGAUGCAGCGACGCCGCGUGAGUGAAGAAGUAUUUCGGUAUGUAAAGCCCUAUCAGCAGGGAAGAAAAUGACGGUACCUGAUUAAGAAGCCCCGGCUAACUACGUGCCAGCAGCCGCGGUUAUACGUAGGGGGCAAGCGUUAUACGGAUUUACUGGGUGUAAAGGGAGCGUAGACGGCAGCACAAGUCUGGAGUGAAAUGCCGGGGCUUAACCCCGGAACUGCUUUGGAAACUGUGCAGCUAGAGUGCAGGAGAGGUAAGUGGAAGUCGUAGUGUAGCGGUGAAAUGCGUAGAUAGUAGGAGGAACACCAGUGGCGAAGGCGGCUUACUGGACUGUAACUGACGUUGAGGCUCGAAAGCGUGGGGAGCAAACAGGAUUAGAUACCCUAGUAGUA